GGGGACGCUUACCACUUUGUGGUUCAUGACUGGGGUGAAGUCGUAACAAGGUAGCGCUAGGGGAACCUGGCGCUGGAUCACCUCCUUAUACGAUGAU
RNAcentral lists this ribosomal RNA (97 nucleotides) under Vibrio parahaemolyticus. RNAcentral describes it as "partial 16S ribosomal RNA". It matches the Rfam family "Bacterial small subunit ribosomal RNA", at positions 1446 to 1533 of the family's 1533-position model. The record is from RNAcentral. RNAcentral also lists the same sequence under 3 other names. Lineage: Bacteria; Pseudomonadati; Pseudomonadota; Gammaproteobacteria; Vibrionales; Vibrionaceae.